RNAcentral lists this ribosomal RNA (677 nucleotides) under uncultured bacterium. Its description in RNAcentral is "bacterial SSU rRNA". It matches the Rfam family "Bacterial small subunit ribosomal RNA", at positions 62 to 774 of the family's 1533-position model. The record is from RNAcentral.
UCGAACGGAGAAUUGCUAGCUUGCUAAUAAUUCUCUAGUGGCGCACGGGUGAGUAACACGUGAGUACCUGCCCCCAAGAGUGGGAUAGCCCCGGGAAACUGGGAUUAAUACCGCAUAAAGCAAUAAAGCAGCAAUGCGCUUGGGGAUGGGCUCGCGUCCUAUUAGUUAGUUGGUGAGGUAACGGCUCACCAAGGCGAUGACGGGUAGCCGGUCUGAGAGGAUGUCCGGCCACACUGGAACUGAGACACGGUCCAGACACCUACGGGUGGCAGCAGUCGAGAAUCAUUCACAAUGGGGGAAACCCUGAUGGUGCGACGCCGCGUGGGGGAUAAGGUCUUCGGAUUGUAAACCCCUGUCAUGUGGGACAUUAAAAGAUAGUACCACAAGAGGAAGAGACGGCUAACUCUGUGCCAGCAGCCGCGGUAAUACAGAGGUCUCAAGCGUUGUUCGGAAUCACUGGGCGUAAAGCGUGCGUAGGCGGUUUCGUAAGUCGUGUGUGAAAGGCGGGGGCUCAACCCCCGGACUGCACAUGAUACUGCGAGACUAGAGUAAUGGAGGGGGAACCGGAAUUCUCGGUGUAGCAGUGAAAUGCGUAGAUAUCGAGAGGAACACUCGUGGCGAAGGCGGGUUCCUGGACAUUAACUGACGCUGAGGCACGAAGGCCAGGGGAGCGAAAG